UUAGGUCAGCAAACCCGCUGAAUUUAAGCAUAUAAGUAAGCGGAGGAAAAGAAACUAAAUAGGAUUCCCUCAGUAAUGGCGAAUGAACAGGGAUGAGCUCAGUAUGGAAAUUGGGGCCUGUGGCCUUGAAUUGUAGUCUGGAGAUGUACCACCAACUGGGGCGCAGAUGUAAGCCUCUUGGAAAAGAGCAUCAAUGAGGGUGAGAGUCCCGCUUGGCAUCUGCAGUCCCCAGUGCACGGUGUACCUUCUAAGAGUCACGUUCCUCGGGAUUGGAGCGCAAAUCGGGUGGUAAGUUUCAUCUAAAGCUAAAUAUAGUUUCGAGACCGAUAGCAAACAAGUACCAUGAGGGAAAGGUGAAAAGGACUUUGAAAAGAGAGUUAAAAGUGCCUGAAAUUGCUGAAAGGGAAGCGAAUGGAACCAGCGUAACUUGGCGAGAUUGCUGCGUGUCAAUGUGAUUGCUUGCUGCUUCAACGUAAGUGUUGUAGUAAGUCUUGAACAGGACAUGCGCGGUGCUUCUUGCCUUGUGUGUCACCGUCAGUUCGCAACUGGGGAAAACUUCAGGGACAUGGUAGCCUGUCUCCGGGUGGGUGAACGUGUUUGCUGGAACUCAUUUGCGGAUUGCUUGGUGACUAAAUGGUUCCAUCUGACCCGUCUUGUAACACGGACCAAGGAGUUUAAC
This 679-nucleotide ribosomal RNA is filed under the name Asterionellopsis glacialis. Its description in RNAcentral is "partial Eukaryotic large subunit ribosomal RNA". It matches the Rfam family "Eukaryotic large subunit ribosomal RNA", at positions 11 to 679 of the family's 3401-position model. Lineage: Eukaryota; Bacillariophyta; Plagiogrammaphyceae; Rhaphoneidales; Asterionellopsidaceae. The record is from RNAcentral.